Meleagris gallopavo (turkey) is the source of this 13905-nucleotide non-coding RNA. The record is from RefSeq and is a predicted model, not a curated record. NCBI's taxonomy places the organism in Eukaryota, Metazoa, Chordata, Aves, Galliformes, Phasianidae.
CCAGGCGGGAGAGCGUGGGGCGGGCGGAGACUUCUGCGCGUGCGCCGAAGCCCCUCGGCCAAUGAGCGGCUAAGGAGGAAGCGGCCUCCGGCCAGUCAGAAGCCUCCGGGACGAGCCGCUGACGUCGCGACGUAAGAAUGCGUGGCGUGCGGGCAGGCGGCGGCGCGGAUGCCGAUUGGUCGAGGACGGGCGCACCGGGGACCGUUGAGCCCAGUUAGCGGGAUGGGUGGGGCUCGGGCUGCGCGUGCGCGUUGGGCCUUCUCGGCGCGUGCCUGGCGCGGGCAGUGCCGGACUUUAGUUGCUUCCCGCCUCGGCGCAACGGCCCCUUCCUGUCAGCGCCCGCGGAGCGCUGCUCGUACAGCACUCCGGCAGCCCGGAUAUCAGCCCGUCCCCCUUGAGCCCUGGGGCAAAGGAGCGAAGGCGGGGCUCGUACCCCAGGGAGACGCACCUCACCGGGUGCCGGUGCGGGGGCUCAGCUCUGAGCGGUGCAGCAGGAGCGCUCCAGGAGCGUUGGGUCGGGGCUCUGUGUAAGGCUGUGUGAGCAUGUCGGGAGUCACACAGCGACAGGCAGCGUGGCUGGCAUGACUGGGCAGUGAGCUUCUCACAGGAGGUGUGAGCGCUGCCGGCCUGUGAGCUGGGAAUUAUCCCUCACAUGAGUGCAGAUUUAUUUAAUAACACAGAAAUAAGCGUCUUUAUGUCCUAGUACCGCUUUUUUUUUUUUUUUUUUUUUUGUUACAUACGUACAUGUUAACAUACAAAUUAAAGUGUUUCUAAACUGUGAAGAACGUGUGCUAGUCUCUUUAGUUUGUGCCCCUGUGAAAGUAGUUACUUGGUGUUUACCAUCCGUAGUUCUCAGCUCGUCAGAAAAGCAGAGGAGGUGUCACUGCCGUGCUGCAGAAAGACUCAAGUGCCCUCUGCCUUGCCCUCCGUACUGCUCUGUAGCUGUCACUGUGCCACUGCAGUGGAGUGCUGGAGCUUGAGAGCUUUGUUAGGAUCCUCUCUGUGCCUGUUGUGCUGUGAUGUCCCCCAAUUUCUCUGUUGCCAUCGCGUUUGUGCACUCUGGGAUUUGAUCCGAAGCCCUGAAAAGGAAGAACUACAGGCACAGCUUGUUCACCCAGUGACACUGAGAGUGCUGCGUGAUCAGCUUUCUGUUUUACCAUAGGCACGAUUGCAUCAGUGGAGAACAAAUUCCGCAGCGAAGUCUCGUUCUCUGUGUCCAUAGGGGCGCCUGGCCUCUCACAUUGCCCUCCUCAGCUGGUAGGAAAUUGCUACAGGACAGUUAAUCCCAGGUGCCACGAGAACGACACCUCAGUGAUGUCCCUGGAUCAGCCUGAAGCUUCCUGUACAAUGAUUACUAUACCUUUAGGAAACGUGAGGAAUUUUGUUCAGAGAGCUCGGAAGCAUUUUUUGCAGCCCUCAACUGGAGCAAGCAACAUUACUCUCAUUAUUCAUACCACAGAACUGAGGUACUGAAAGGUGAGAUGAUUUCCCCAGAUUCACACAGCAGACGUGGCACGUUCAUUCCUAUUCAAGCCAUUACUUAUCUGCCUAGAAUGUGAAGGCUUUUCAGUGGGACUCAAACCUAUGCAUCUUCAUGAGGACUAGGAGGCUGCUGUAUGGAGGCUGUUCCUGCUUAAUGCAGCUCUGGUAUACAACAGCACAGGGCUGGGCCUCGAUGCCCUUAACACUUCGUCUGGGCAGCAUCCCAAGGCAGGAGGACAGUGUUUUCUCAGCCCAUGCUCACCACAGCUGUGAAGACCUCUCACUUAAACCACUUCCAUUCCUCGAAGAAGACACGAAGCCCAAAGGGCUGUGUCUCUUAUCUGUCUCUUAGCAUGCAAACCAGAAGUGAGGAGCGAUCGCAGCAUGGCUAUUUCUUCGGCUGUGAGCUCUGUGCCCUGGAGGUGGCGGCAGUCCCCUUCGUUGUGUACUGCUGCACACCGUGUGCUGAACACUAUGCACUGCAUGCUGUAUGUGCACUGUAUGCCACAGAAAACGUUUACAUGCCUGUCUACCAUGCAUUUUAGCUCUGAGCAUCCCCAGAUUUUAAAAGGUGAGUCCCACUGAAGACCCAGAAAUUUGUUCUUGAAAGCAGGACUUCAGUAUCUGGAUCGUGCAAAAACUCAGUUGUGUUACAGCUGGUAUAGGUAACUGACAAAACAACAAUUACCUGUUCUAAACUAUAGCUUACAAGUACAAGAAAGAGGAUAGAUGCAGCCAUACAAACACAUACCAUUUAUGACACAUACGAUAAGAAGAAAAGUUCUCACCAUAUAAUGAGCAGUAGGUUAGAGAUCAUGCCAAAGGCUCUUAAUCGUAUUAUUUUACCUAACCUGAGUUAUUUGCUUAUAUAUGGCACAAUACAAGAAGGGACAUACACCACUGGGCACAUUGGUCAUGCUUCCUCUGCCUGUGCUGCAUGGCAUUACAGGUUGCAUUCUGCACUUGAAUGCACUCUACUCAGAUCAGCUUUCUUUUUCAAUACUGGCCUCAAACAUAGUGAAGGGAAGAAUUUAUUUACCCUCUAUCUCUAGUGAUUGAUAGACAAAGCACUAUUCAUUAGGUCAUCAAAUACUGCUUCUUAUUUUCAUGCUGUACUUGCUAUAACCCACUUUCUCCUCUCCAUCUUUCAUAGAAGCAUACAUGCUUGUGCAUACUUGUGCUUUUGUUUAACUUUGUUUUGAUUGUCAAUCUUUUAGAUUUAAGCCUUGUUUUGACCAGUGGUUUUUAACCGCGUUGGCAAUAGUAGGACUGAUGGCCCCAGGGGCACAAGCUUAACAGAUAUGCUGAACCAAUCCAAUAAUUCUUAGUUGCCAAGAGUAUUGGUCCUGCUUCCUUUCCAGAUGUGCACCCUGCAGCUCGUCUGCUCCAGAUCUUGUGCUUACUGACCUGCUGGGAGCUGACUCAGCCCACGCUGUGCACAAAGAGCAAAGUGAAUAUUUUUGACCACAUGAGCAACCUGCAAGUGGCUCAGAGAGGUGCCAGUGGAGUCAAAUGAUGAGACCCUAAGCCAGCUUUGGAAACUAACUGAUGCUGGUCCCUCAGGUGUCUAAUUCCUGUAUUCUGGAAGCCAAUACUUCAAACUCUUCCUGCUGCUGAGGCAGUUCCAGGACACAGCCUUAGAGAGCAGCACCUCAUUGGCAUGAAGUGUGGAUGAGGGCAGGGGUUGGAGCCUUACCAUGGUGAUGCUUUAGGAAGCACUUUUUCCCAUAGUAGAGGGUAAGUGACAAGCCCUGAUUUGGCUGAAGCAUGCUGUCAAUGAUCUGUGCCUGAUCCUGCAUGCACAGUUGGUGCCUGCUGACCUGGAGAGCAGUGGUGGUGUGGCGGAGCUUCUUGGUGUCCAUUCCUUUCCAAAUCCUUGCAGUUUUAAGUAACCAGGUCACAGACUUCUGAUUCCAGCACCAGGAGACAUAGGAGACAUGUCUUUCCCCAGACUAAUUUCUUUGGGGCUGAUGCACCAGCUCUUACUAAUUUAUACAUCAACUUACUUAUCAAUCAAGAACAUUCAUUCUAGGUUCAAGAUAGUCUUUCAUUACAGCACAGUCAUUUUUAGCCUGUCUAUCUGAAGGAAAUGCAGUUUAUUACCAGGUUCUCCUUCUUUUUGUCCCUUUUCCCCAGUAACUUUGCUCCAUGGCUGAUUUCAAGUACUGUAACACGCCAUAUGAAAUCUGGCAAGGAGGCAGAACAGAGAGCCUGACUUGUGAAUCCCCUUGCUCUGAUGCUGCAGACAUUUAUUUCCCCACUUGCAAAAGCUGUUUUCCAAUUCUCCUGUUGCAGUUACAAAAACAUUGGUGCUGCAGCCAGACGGAAUGUUACAGCUAUGCACAGCCUGACUUCUACAACCCCUUAAGGUAUUUCAGUCCUUUCAUCUGUUCACUGAAAGUAAUGUGGGUGAUUUAUUACUUAUGCCCCCUUCAAACUCAUUAUUACCUCCAAGUGCCUGGUUAUCCCUCGGUUCGAUCUCAAAUGAGAGCUUGUAAUGAGGAGCCUUCACUGAUUUGUUAUGAGAACAUGUAACACACAAUUAGAAAGCAACUUGGGCAUAAACUAUUACAUUUACGGGCAAGAAGUCUUUGCUUUGAUUUUUGACCAUUGCUCAGUUUAAGGAAAAGGGACACUGUGCUUCAGAGAGAGUAAAUGAUCUGCUAAGGGCUUGUGCUGUUAAUCACUGCCUCUGUGAAUGCCUUCACCUUUUGGGCAAGUGAGAACCAAACCAAGUCAGGAUCAAGGGCGUCAGCAUUUUCAGUAUGGGAGAUGGCUUCUAGCUUUGGGAAAAAAAUGUGAUUGUGACUACUUCCCAGGGCUGACCUGGGCUAGAAGUGGUAGGGAGGGGUUCCAUACUCAGAUUUUCUCCUGUGAGUGCAGCCCAUGGAUGUGAGAUUACACCUAAAGCAGCCAGAAAGCUAUCUGCUGGGUUCUAAAGGGCUGGGAAAACCUCUGGAGUGCGUGUAUGUAAGGCUGCUAGGGAAAAAGUGAGUUGUGAUGCUCAGUGCUGUCUGAACCCUGAGAGUGGCAGGGCUGUGCAUAGUGUGAGGAUGUACCAAGAGAAAAGGGUGGGAUCAAGUUCCAUUCUUGAAAUAUCAGCUGCUCACUGCAAGGAUCAGGAAGGUCUGUUUUGUUCUAUGAGGUGAUUUGAAAGAUUAUACAGAUAUUGAGAUAUGGAUUUUUUUUGCCAACCUUUGAAGCUAGGUAUUGGCUGGGAAGGAGUGAUGGUCCAAGGUGCUGCAGUAAAUCAUAGGUUCUUGUAAGUAAGGUCACAGUAGCUGCUGGAUAUAAUUUCUGCUAACAAGAGCAGACUCUGGUGCUAGUAUUUCAGUAUCAUUGCUCCUGAAUGAGAUUCAAUAGCUGGAGAUAUGCAGUAUCAUACACAAAGAACACCAGGUGAGGAGGUGAUACAAUGUACUCGAUUAGUCAGAGGAUUAGUAAUUCUACUAGAAAUAUACAUGAUGUUGCAAUAAGGAUCUCACUUCAAAAAAUAUGCUCUGUUAACUCAUUUCUGCAAUUCAUAUUCCCUGUUCAGCACAAAUGCUAUUACAAUGCAGUGCAAUGUUUCACCCUUCCAUGUGGAUGGCACUUUUUACAUGCACACUGGCCACUUUAAAGAAUUCCACUACCAAUAUCUGUGUAUUGCUUCUGUAUGUUAUUUUGAGCAUGCUUUGUUCUUCCCUUUCCAUCAGAACACACUGCAUGUCCAAAACACCAUUUGCAGUCAAUGAGGGUUACAAAGACUUUACAAAUCAGAGUCAAGUCAAAUCACUAAUUUUCAAGUGAUUUUCUGUUCUUACAGGGAUACUUGCAUGAAGUGUGUACUGAAGAGAUAAUACAUAUGGAUAAAACUUUAAACAUGAAAACCUUUCCUUUAUGUGUUUAUGUGUUCACAGUGAACUUGAGUCAUUGGAGUUUCAUCCUGCCUCAGAUGGGAAAAGCAUCCCCAGCUGUCAUUGCACUGGAGCAGUAAAAUGAUUCCCGGAGUAAAGGGAAACACGGGGAAGCGAUCCUGUUUGGAGCCAGGAUGCUUAGUGUGGCAUAUCUACAUGGAAGCUGCAGGAGGACAUCAGUCUUUGCAUUAACAUUAACUACCGUGGAUAAGAGAAUAUAUUAGCAACAGCUUCACUAAAGGUCAGGACACAGAGAAGGAAAAUCAAGAAGCAUUAUACAGACAUAAUUUUAAGCAUAUCUGUAGAAAGAAGCUCUAGCUGUACCAUGGAUGUGUCAAAGGCAGAGGCUGAAAUUCCAAGCUACGUGGCACAGACCAUGUAGAGGAAAAAGGGAAUCCAGACUUAUUCCUUGAAUCUGCAUCAUAUUACCUAAGUCACUCAGUGCUGCUUCCAAACUUUCUCUUUUUUAUGUGUAAAAUCUUUGGCGUGUGUUAGAAAUGCAUGUGGAAUAGCUUAGAAAGGACUGAAGUGAUGGCGCAAGGAUUGAAUGUACUUAAGGCACAGACCAAAAUUACGGUUCCAGAAUAAGCCUGUGGUUUUUAAGAGACACAUAACUGCCACAGUAAUUAUUUAAUGGGGCUAAAACUUUCCAGGUUUGGAGUCGGUCCAGCUGUGAUAUAUUUCCAGAAGACAGGAGGAGAAGGAGCAGUGCAAGACUCAGCCCUAAACUGAAGCAGAAGAAUUGUACAUCAACUGUGUGCUCACUGAAGCACAGGAGCAGCUGAGCAAAAAAGAGCCGCUCUCUGCAGAACAUGAUUGAAGGCUGGAUAUGAUGACAAUAGUCUUUGGGAGCUAUUUUAAAAAUGAUCCCCAGAAACAAAAUAAAUGUAUAUGUUUUUUAAAAUGAAAUAUUACAAGGAAUUGUUGGAAACCAAAAGAAGUGAUGCUAAGCUUUAACUUGAGCGAGGGCUUUCCUCUAGUUUCUUCCUGCUCUACAGAGUGGCUCCCUCCCUAAGACCCCUCUGAUCCAGGAGGAUUGUACGUGCAGCACUGAACUGUCCUAACAUCUCUGUGUCAUCAUCUAUCCCAGACCUUGAUGCCAGUGUGGACAGAGACAUGGAUGAAGGAGAAAGGGCGUUGCUGGAAAGCCAUACUUCUGGGUUCUUGGAAUGGCUGCAAGAAAGAUGUGCCCAAGGAGAGACUGAGUCACUGUGGAGACAGCUGCUCUGCUUCAUUUCUGCAUGAAAGGGAAAUGUUUUAAAUCUCACUCCCUUGAUGGGUCCAGAACAGUAACAGCCUGGGCAGGAAGAGGGUAGAUCAAGCUUUGGGCUACACUCAACACACAAGUUUUUCCUACUUGCUGCCAUGCAGCCCAAAUAGCAGCCUGAGAGAAGAACCACUCUGAGAUCCUAGCAGGGAUGAAACCAGCAUGCUGCUACAGAAAUUAGUCUUUAAAAUCCUUCAAAUUUUAAUAAAGGUCAGUAUCUUCUUCUACAACAUGCUAAAAUUUGUCCUGUGUGACUCAAUGUAGGCUUUUAACUCCACAAUGCAAUAGCUUUUCCACUAAAGACUGAAGUCAAGAGUCAAUGGAUCAUUGCUCUCCAGUCAGGGUUUGAAUGGGUAGACGGAAGAGGAUUAUUUGCCUUUUCCUGCAGCAUGACUUGUGGGACUCCAUCUGGCCUAUCAUUUUGGAUUUCUGGCACAGGCAACCCAAAUUUGACCAUCUUACACGCAAUUGAGAGCAAAAGAUCAGACCCUUAGCUCAAUGAGUCAUUUGGCCUUAUGAAACCCAAAAAGCACAGACAACAUGGAGCCAUCCUGGGACUGGCUCUGUACCUGGAAAGUUGCAAGGCCAAGAACACUUCAUUGUUGGAUGAUAUUUUUAAGACUCACUUAAAGCCAGAAGUGCAGAGCAACCCCUUCAGAGCUCCAGCCUAACAACUGCAGCACAGUUCAUUAACGGGAUCAUGUCAAAACGUGCUUUGCCCUAUACUUCCCUCCUCAGACAGAACUGUUGAGCUACCAGCCUUAAACAAACACACUGAUUGCAAGGAGAAAGAGGAAAGGGAAGAGAGAAGAGGAAUAAUAUUUUUAGAUGACAGGACAAAAUAACCAAUUGUAAUCUCCAUUUAAAAAAAAGAAUCACCCAUUCAUUGUCAGGAAUGAAUAUGAUCAAACUCAACCUCCACAGAGUAAUUGUUGCUGAUGGCGAUUAUGCAAAUGCCAUUCUUAACAAAUGCCUGACGGUGUACAUUUACAUUUCUUUCAGUGAGGUGGAUAUGAUUACGCUGAAGAGUCUUCUUGUCCAAAGAAGAAAUCUCUGGAUUGACAAUCCAUUCCUCCUGCACACUCACAGGCACGGGCAGGUAACAGCAGCAGUUGUAGGGGAAAAAGGCUGGGCACAUCUGUGUUAUUUUUAUUAACAUACACAUUAUAUGUGAUGCUUCACUUUUGUUAUUGAUAAACAGACUGGAAAAAAAAAUGUUAUCUUUCAUAGUUUAGAUCCAAGCCCCUCUUCCAGUAAGCACAUUAAGAUCUUUCAACAGUCAGAAGUUAGAAAAAACUAUUAAUGCUGUCUGCACAAGAAAGACAGUCCCAUGAAUCAGGUGGAGAACGCUGAGAUGGUCUGAAAAGUUCAAGCAUUGUACUCUCCAUUGGGACAGCAGAUAUAAAUCCAGAUUUGCAAGACUACUUGUUAAAACUGUAAAAGACCCAGGGCCAAACUGCCUCAUAGGAUGCAGCAUGAUCCAGACCUACAGCAAAACCUCAUACCGAGUAAGCAUGGUAUACAGCUUAUGAAGACUGAGGACAUUUAAAAGGAUGACUGUUCAUGUGAAAAGGAUGACUGCUCAUGCGAAGUGAAGCCACAAUCAGAUUUACUUACCUCCAAACGUGCCUCACAAUGACUGAGGCUCGGCUCUGUCAAGUGCUCUGACUGGUUAACAAGAAACAAAAUAAUCUGGAACAGAACGGAUGAGACUUGAUGUUGAUGCACCAACCUGAGCUAAAUCCUGCUGCUGGCUGAGCAGAACGCUGCUGCAAGGGAUGGCAGAAAACGGUUGUAGGAGAACUUGACUUCCUAAGCUCAUCUGACACAGGACAUGACAAUCCGAUAACGGGCAGGGACUGGAAAAAUCCACUCUCUGUAAAUAUGCUACACAUAGAAGAAGUUUUAGCAUGCCUUAUUCCUUUUAACCAUUUGCAGCUCACGAUCUCAAGAUAAAGGGGCAAUUUACCGAAGGGCUCCAUUGGUGAAAUUUUGUGGCAUUUCACUUGAGCCCUCAGCUUGACAGAAACAACGUUUCCCUAAUGAAAACCCCAUACCAAAGGCUGGCUCAAACCCACCCAACGGAUUUAUGUGACUGAUCUCACAACAUUUUUAUUUAAUCAAAUACAAUCCAUGCAUGUGUUCUGCAUUUCUAAAAAAUGGAAGAUUUUCCCAAGUACAUCUUUUUCCAUGUCACUAACUUGUAAUAAUGUGGAAGCCCCAAACUGACACUUAAAUGACAGCAUUAACUCUUCAGUUACUGCUGACUGGAAUGGGAAGGACCAUUAGAGAGAUCUCUGUAGAUAGCUGGUGGAGAGCAUUGCUGUGGGGAAGGAAAGGAAGAAGGAAGGGCAGAGGAGAUGUUCUAGGACAGGGAGGAGGGAGAAAGAUGGAGAUAAGAAUAAGGGGAAUAGAGAAAAAUGAAAUGGUAGGGUGUGUAUAUUUUCUAACAGUAAUAUUGAAUAUGAGAAAUAAAUGGGUACAAGAACUAAAUAACGUUAUCUGCAAUUGUUCUAUUUCUGAUCAUUGUGCUAACCUCCCACUGAUAUGGCUGAGAUACUUCCUCUGAGCUGAGUGCACAUUAUUUGUACUUCAACUCACAGAUUGGCAUCAGAGCACGAGUUGGGCCUUUCAUGCAGAAUAAAUCUGACAUUCUUCCUUUCAAUCUCUGUUUAGCAUUUGAGGAAAAAAACCAAACUUUUUCAUAAAUAUGAACAGGAUGUGCCAAAAUGAAUCUGCCCUCAGAAUGGCAUUUUAGUGGGGCUGCACUGCUGCAACUCAAAGCAAAAUUUGGCCUUCGACUCUAAUUGCUCCCAACUCUAGAAGUACUGAAUUGAUUUUAUUCAGACAUGAACUGUUUUCUCCUUCAUCACCGAGGUCUAUAAAACAAGCCGAGUUCAAAUUUCCUAGCGUCAGCUCUUCUUGAGUUAUAAGGGCAGAGAAGCUGCAACCGGAACAAAUAGGAAUAGCUGGUUUCUCUUCACGCCCACAUAUCAUAAAAACAGCUAAGCUGAUUUUGCUGAGAGUUCUCAAAAAUAUUCACCUUUAGGCUGGAGUUAAGCCUGAGAAGUACCUUGCCCCACCUGAGGAAUGUGCUUUGGGAAAUUUGGAGCAGCUGAAAAAUGGAGGGGAGCCUGGAAACAGAAAGUGAGCUGAAUCUAUAGUAGUGGUUUAUUUUCACAGGACUAAUAAACAAUUCUCAAUUCUUGGCCAUAAAUUAGCUUUGUAAGGAUGCAACAUGUUCCUGAGUGGGCCUGUGGCUUUCUUCUUUCCUAGAAGAGACAUUUUUGGUCUGAGAUCAGAUAUUCAUAGGCUGUUUGGGGUGAUUAUAAUCUGUUCCAUAUGUCUGGCAGACAGAACUCUGCCACGAUGACCACUGGGAACAUCUGCACGGCUUUACCCAGCUCCUCACUCCCCGCCACCUUCAGCAGAGCUCUCUUUCAGGUUCGGCCUCACAGCCAGAACCACAUGAGCUGCUGCAAAGCCUGUCCUGUGGUUUUAUCAUCACCCAGUGCAAUGAUGGCUUUUACAUCAAGACACAUCUUGAUCCCAUCACUCUGUCAGGCACUGCAGGGACACUGCAGUUGUCGUGACUUGUUAACCCAUUCAUUUUUCAAGAAACAUUUGAGCCCACACUCAUCUUCUGCAACUUUGGAAAGAGCAAAACAGAUUUAUUAAAAUUUGAGUCUGUGGAAGCAAAAGCCCCAGGUCUGUCUGCUCAUAAUGGAGGACGCUACUUCAAAUAGGAAUUUAAGCUUGGUGCCUAAAAACUGACCUCCUUUGUUGCACAUGAUGCACAGAAUAGCAGCAAAGGCUGUUUUAGUUCUAGAUGUCCCUGUUUGGCUCAAAAAUAUUCGCACUUAAAAAUGUUCUGAGCAUCGCUGCACGCACAUCCUUAGCCAAAGGCACUGAUUACAGAACACCAUGUAUGUUACCCUGCUUCAUGUGUCACUCCCAGGACAGGGAGUCUCCAGCAGAGCGUGCAGCCACUGAAGAUAUCACAUGGGGCCACCACGUGAAAACAUGUCAUUACUCAGUUGUCAUGCUGUCAAACGCUGCAAGCACUCACUGCUCUAGUGAGCCAUGAAUGACUCUGUUUGCUCCUGAUCAAGCUCUUCUGGCAGACACAGGAAUACUGAGGCAGAAGUGCCCAUACCAAAAGAUGCCGAGGUGCUGCAGGCUGGUUUGGGGGCAAUCGAGGGCAAGUACUGUGGGCAGAAGACAGCAUUUCCUCAAGGACCCAUGUAUGUGCUCUGCUGUUUUGGCUUCAAGCUGCUGAGACAAAAAGCUGGCACAGUCCCCUGAUGCUACAAGGAAUCCCCAUUGAGUUCAUCCCCACACUAACACUCAUAAUGAGUUGCAGGGGAGCAGGACCUGUCCUACGAGGCACUUGCGAUGCACUGACAUUACAGAGAUUACAGAAGCAGAGCUGAGAGCAGAUUCUGACACAUGCUCUUCUGUCUGAUUUCAGAAGUUAACUGCAAUAAUGAAGCAUCCUGUUUGGAAAUGAGUUACAGGGUAUGCAUAUUUAUGGGGCUGUGCUACCCCAGGUGCACACAUACAACUCCCAUUUAGCUGAUGUAGGAAUGCUGAGAGGCAGAGAGACAAAUUAGGAGGAUGUUUACCACUCAGCAAAAAUACAGCAUUCUUAUUUAAAAAUAAUAUGAUGAUGCUAUUUCUAAAACAUCUGCAACACAGGGUUUUGCUGUCCUUCACACCAAAUGAGUUACAUUCAGGUGACGGGCGACCCUGUGCUUCUCCCUCGCUUCCCUCUGAGAGUGGGGUUUAGUACAGACUCAGUUGGCUGGGGUCUGCACGUGGAGCAGCUCUCAGCAGACCUGGGGGUGCUCCUGCCGCUCGCAGUGCGAAACACAGCGCAGAAAUGAAUGAUGCCUGUGGUGUAGGGAGCACUGAUGCAUCACUUGGGGCUAAUUUGUUUUAUGGAUCCAUUUCCCAAACACAUAGUUAAUGAGUCCACGAUCUAUAAACUACAAACCUCAAGCAUGCUCCAAGUGACUGUGAUGAGGUAGAACAUCACGUGGUAGCUUCUUUCUUCAUAAGGCAGCACAGAGUGGCAUGUGAAGGAACAGGUGGGAUCUGACAUCAGGACAAGAGACUUGAAAAGAAGCACACCCAAGCCCAUAUGCCAGCCAGACUGCCUUGCUAGCCCCUGCCUUCCCAGGAGCCACUGAAUAAGCCUCCAGCAGAUUCUGAGCAGAUAUUUGGAGGAGAGAAGCAGGCAGUUUGCAGCUCCCUGCAGAUGCCAUUACACAUGGCAGAGCAGCAGCACACAGGAGGGCAGAGCAGCCUGGCAAAGCCACCCCUGUGUCCCUUGUGCUAUUUCUGUUCUGCUGAAGUGUAGGAUACCCAGCUGACUGGCUCACUGGUGGGAUUUCUGCGAAGGGGGAACAUUUGCCUGCAGGUACAGAGGGGGGCAAAUGGAGGGGAAAACAGUUGAUUCACAGCAAUCACUGCAGAGCAGCAAACAUUUGCAUUAAUUUUGCUCAUCCCAAGAGUACAUUCAUUAUACCUUUCCAUAUACCAAAUCCGUAAGUGUGUAUGUGCUGAGCCAGUGGACUGCCAUAGAAAGCUGCAAAUAAUGAAUGAUGUAUUACCUCUCUUAUAAUGGAUUGGUUAUUCCAGCUAUACUUGCCUUGAUGCGAUGAAAUAAAUGACAGCAAUUUUGCUAAUACAUGGAUUUUCUGCUCUCCCCCUCCUUUUCAACAGGGCAGAAGGGUGUCCUUUAGCAUUUAAAGCCAUGCAGGAACACAAUACUUAUGAUGGAAAGUGUCUAUAAUGUAAGUAUGCCAUAACCGUAAGUAGCAUCUGGUUAGAAAAGAAGCUGAUGUGAGGUAUGAAGAAGAUAUUUUACACAUGAUAGAAGUAAUAAAUCUGCAGUUUGCUGGAGGAUUUAGAUCCAACUGGAGAUAAAUUCAUUGUGGAUAUUUUUAAAGUAUGGUAUAGCUCCAUUAAGAAAGGACUCAGAGUUGGAAGUGCUCCUGGUUCAGCUGGUGAUAUCACAGCUGUGUCACAGAUGGAUCACAGCAAUCAGUUUGCUGGUUCAGAUGGAAAGUGCAUUGCAUGAGCAGUGUUGCUACAUCCUCCAUUAAAAUGCAGCCCCUGAUUCAAUGGCAAAGAAUGACAGAACCAUGGCUGACUGCAGAACAGUCCCUCAGUGCCAGUGGGAAAUGCAGACGAAAGAUACUAUGGUGACAUCUCCAUAAUAAGAUUAUUGCAGGAAGGAAACUGCCAUGCAGAAGGAAGACAAGGACCAUGCCAUGACUGGGAAUGCUGGCAAAUGUUUAGGAUGACUCUGAGUGCAAUAAGAUUCAGAUUUCUUUAAGCUGCAGAGACUCAGAAUCUGAUCCUGAGGCUACCAGCAUCUGUGGAAAGUUCUCCAGCAAUCCAAAGCCUUAGCUUAGGUCUCUUUUUAUACAAACACCUGUGCCCUGUUCUGUCUCUGCAGAACAGCAGUGGCUCAGACUGCCCUAAUCCUUGUCAAAGGGACUUAACUUGCCCAGAAGUCAGCAGCCCCACGUUACAAGGGUUCAGUAAAGCUGGAUGCUGAGCCAGAUGCUAACUGCUGCCUGCAGCCAGCUGCACUUCCUCCAGCUGCUGCAGCUCUCAUCUUCUCUCAGAGCAGCAGCACCAGCCCUGGUGAGAUGACAGCUCCUCCUCCUGCUUUCACUUGGUUACUCAUUUUCCAGCUCUCCCAAUGCUUACUGGGGUUCUCAGUCCUCAGAGUGUAUCAGUCCCAGCUGACAGCAUCCCACAGUGAAGGUAAUCAAUCCUGAUGCUUAUCGUAAUCACCAGUAUCACUGUUUUUGGCUACAGAUAUCUUUUCCCCUAUGAAUGCUGACUUGCCUCUUUCCCUUCUGCCACUUUGCUGAAGUCACACGUGCCCUCAGAGGAAAACGUGGCAGCAUCAUGAACAGGAGCGGAGAGCUCUGCCAUAAGGAGAGGCUGGGAUGCAACGUGAUUAUCAUGUUAACCGCCUCACUGCCCUUUGGAUGCUUGGCUCACAUCCAGCAAAGUGCUCAAGGCAAGCACUGCUAGGUAUCACAUUCAACUAAAAUGUCAAGAGGAGCCCUGGAGGCUGUGGGGACCCCCGUGGGCUGUGGGGCUGGUCAGCAAAGUGCUGCAGAAAGUACCGGGAGAGCUGAGAACUGCCUGAGAGGAGCACUGUGCCAGCCAGGUCCACACUCGCUCAGUGACACAUGCAGCACACUGCAUGGGGAUAACAUCAUGUGAUCUAAAAGA